UUACCUCAGUAACGGCGAGUGAAGCGGUAACAGCUCAAAUUUGAAAUCUGGGUCUUUCAGGCUCCGAGUUGUAAUUUGUAGAAGAUGCUUUGGGUGCGGUCCCGGUCUAAGUUCCUUGGAACAGGACGUCAUAGAGGGUGAGAAUCCCGUAUGUGAUCGGUGGCUUGCGCCCGUGUAAAGCUCUUUCGACGAGUCGGGUUGUUUGGGAAUGCAGCUCUAAAUGGGUGGUAAAUUUCAUCUAAAGCUAAAUAUUGGCCAGAGACCGAUAGCGCACAAGUAGAGUGAUCGAAAGAUGAAAAGCACUUUGGAAAGAGAGUUAAACAGUACGUGAAAUUGUUGAAAGGGAAGCGCUUGCAACCAGACUUGCGCGGGGUUGAUCAUCCGGGGUUCUCCCCGGUGCACUCGGCCUCGCUCAGGCCAGCAUCGGUUUCGGUGGUUGGAUAAAGGCCUUGGGAAUGUGACUUCUUUCGGGGAGUGUUAUAGCCCUCGGUGCAAUGCAGCCUACCGGGACCGAGGACCGCGCUUCGGCUAGGAUGCUGGCGUAAUGGUUGUAAGCGACCCGUCUUGAAACACGGACCAAGGAGUCUAACAUCUAUGCGAGUGUUUGGGCGUCAAACCCAUACGCGUAAUGAAAGUGAACGGAGGUGAGAACCCUUAAGGGUGCAUCAUCGACCGAUCCUGAUGUCUUCGGAUGGAUUUGAGUAAGAGCAUAGCUGUUGGGACCCGAAAGAUGGUGAACUAUGCCUGAAUAGGGUGAAGCCAGAGGAAACUCUGGUGGAGGCUCGCAGCGGUUCUGACGUGCAAAUCGAUCGUCAAAUUUGGGCAUAGGGGCGAAAGAC
This 839-nucleotide ribosomal RNA is filed under the name Pezicula eucrita. RNAcentral describes it as "eukaryotic LSU rRNA". It matches the Rfam family "Eukaryotic large subunit ribosomal RNA", at positions 75 to 931 of the family's 3401-position model. Lineage: Eukaryota; Fungi; Ascomycota; Leotiomycetes; Helotiales; Dermateaceae. The record is from RNAcentral.